AAGGAAUAUUGGACAAUGGACGGAAGUCUGAUCCAGCCAUGCCGCGUGAAGGAAGAAGGCGCUCAGCGUUGUAAACUUCUUUUGGGUGGGAACAAAAUGCGAGAUUUAUCUUGUACUGAGGGUACCAUCAGAAUAAGCACCGGCUAACUCCGUGCCAGCAGCCGCGGUAAUACGGAGGGUGCAAGCGUUAUCCGGAAUCACUGGGUUUAAAGGGUGCGUAGGCGGUGGCGUAAGUCAGUUGUGAAAUUCCCCGGCUUAACCGGCGGGAGUGCGAUUGAUACUGUGUCACUUGAAUGAGGUUGAGGUAGGCGGAAUGUGGCAUGUAGCGGUGAAAUGCAUAGAUAUGCCAUAGAACACCGAUUGCGAAGGCAGCUUGCUGGACCUUCAUUGACGCUGAGGCACGAAAGCGUGGGGAGCAAAC
RNAcentral lists this ribosomal RNA (421 nucleotides) under uncultured bacterium. Its description in RNAcentral is "bacterial SSU rRNA". It matches the Rfam family "Bacterial small subunit ribosomal RNA", at positions 356 to 773 of the family's 1533-position model. The record is from RNAcentral.